UGCUGACCGGGUGCCUGCACUAAGUUCGACACCAAUAUGGUGACCUCCUGGGAGCAGGGGGCCACCAAGUUGCCUAAGGAUGGCUGAACUGGCCCAGGUCAGAAACGGAGCAGGUCAGAACUCCCAAACCGACCGGUAGUGGGACUGUGCCUGGGCG
This 157-nucleotide small RNA is filed under the name Macaca mulatta (Rhesus monkey). Its description in RNAcentral is "Metazoan signal recognition particle RNA (ENSMMUG00000061793.1)". It matches the Rfam family "Metazoan signal recognition particle RNA", at positions 96 to 252 of the family's 299-position model. From Rfam's summary of the family: The signal recognition particle (SRP) is a universally conserved ribonucleoprotein. It is involved in the co-translational targeting of proteins to membranes. The eukaryotic SRP consists of a 300-nucleotide 7S RNA and six proteins: SRPs 72, 68, 54, 19, 14, and 9. The record is from Rfam by way of RNAcentral. Lineage: Eukaryota; Metazoa; Chordata; Mammalia; Primates; Cercopithecidae.